This 96-nucleotide small nucleolar RNA is filed under the name Gopherus agassizii (Agassiz's desert tortoise). RNAcentral's name for it is "Small nucleolar RNA SNORD94 (ENSGAGG00000020103.1)". It matches the Rfam family "Small nucleolar RNA SNORD94". Rfam says of the family: The members of this family belong to the C/D class of snoRNAs which contain the C (UGAUGA) and D (CUGA) box motifs. Most of the members of the box C/D family function in directing site-specific 2'-O-methylation of substrate RNAs. Lineage: Eukaryota; Metazoa; Chordata; Testudines; Testudinidae. The record is from RNAcentral.
AAGGCAAUGAUGAUUGGCGCAGGGGUACAGACCUCAGCUGAAUCAUGGGAGCUGAAUGUAAAUGUUUCUCUGUCCUGCAUGUAGUGGGNCAGCAUU